CUAGCAGCUCAGGUCCCCUCCAGAGGUGCAGGGAUGGGCUAAGGAGCAGCUGACACGUGGUGGUGCCCAUGCUGUGUCCCUGUUGAGCACGGGGAGGUGCCACAUUGGCAUCUAGCAGCUCCGUCCUAAAG
Non-coding RNA from Cavia aperea (Brazilian guinea pig), 131 nucleotides. The record is from Ensembl. NCBI's taxonomy places the organism in Eukaryota, Metazoa, Chordata, Mammalia, Rodentia, Caviidae.